UACGUAGGGGGCUAGCGUUGUCCGAAUUUAUUGGGCGUAAAGAGCGUGUAGGCGGCCAGGUAGGUCUGGUGUGAAAACUCGAGGCUUAACCUCGAGAUGUCAUCGGAAACCAUCUGGCUAGAGUCCGGAAGAGGAGAGUGGAAUUCCUGGUGUAGCGGUGAAAUGCGCAGAUAUCAGGAAGAACACCAAUGGCGAAAGCAGCUCUCUGGGACGGUACUGACGCUGAGGAGCGAAAGCAUGGGGAGCGAACAGG
This 253-nucleotide ribosomal RNA is filed under the name uncultured bacterium. RNAcentral describes it as "partial 16S ribosomal RNA". It matches the Rfam family "Bacterial small subunit ribosomal RNA", at positions 524 to 776 of the family's 1533-position model. The record is from RNAcentral.